CAUGGGGGGAGCAAGCGUUGUUCGGAAUCACUGGGCGUAAAGGGCGUGUAGGCGGUCAGGUAAGUGGGACGUGAAAUGCCUCGGCUCACCCGAGGAGCGGCGUCCCAUACUGCUUGGCUUGAGUACGGGAGAGGAUGUGGGAAUUCCUGGUGUAGCGGUGAAAUGCGUAGAUAUCAGGAGGAACACCGGUGGCGAAGGCGCACAUCUGGCCCGAUACUGACGCUGAGGCGCGAAAGCUAGGGGAGCAAACGGG
Molecule: ribosomal RNA, 253 nt
Filed under: uncultured bacterium
Lineage: Bacteria
Description: partial 16S ribosomal RNA
Rfam family: Bacterial small subunit ribosomal RNA
Source: RNAcentral